RNAcentral lists this ribosomal RNA (310 nucleotides) under Microcentrus caryae. Its description in RNAcentral is "partial 12S small subunit ribosomal RNA". The record is from RNAcentral. Lineage: Eukaryota; Metazoa; Arthropoda; Insecta; Hemiptera; Membracidae.
CUAGAAUAAAAGUAGAUGUUCUUCAUAACUCAAAGAAUUUGGCGGUGAAUCGUAAUUUUAGAGGAACCUGUGUAUUAAUUGAUGAACCACGAUAGGUUAAACCUUUAUUUUUAUUUAUAUACCUCUAUAGUAGGAAUGUUUUUUAAGAAUAAUUUUCUUUUUGAUUAUUCUUCUAUGUUAGGUCAAGGUGUAGUUUUAUGAAGUGUUUAUGUGGGUUACUAUAGUUAUAAUUUAAAUUAUAGUUUUGGUAUUAGCUGAAUUAAUUUUAGGAUUUGAAAGUAACUUUAAUUAAUUAAUUAAUGUGAAUGGU